RNA transcript from Nomascus leucogenys (northern white-cheeked gibbon), 3550 nucleotides. It is a transcript of the gene named unk like zinc finger, with no coding region annotated. The record is from RefSeq and is a predicted model, not a curated record. Lineage: Eukaryota; Metazoa; Chordata; Mammalia; Primates; Hylobatidae. The transcript has 17 exons.
CCGGGGGCGGGGGCGCCGGCGCGGCGCAUGCGCGCUGCAUUGUUUUGACUGAAAAUGCCGUCGGUUUCGAAAGCGGCGGCGGCGGCGCUGAGCGGGUCCCCCCCACAGACUGAGAAGCCGACCCACUACAGGUACCUGAAGGAGUUCAGGACGGAGCAGUGCCCCCUGUUUUCACAGCACAAGUGCGCGCAGCACCGGCCGUUCACCUGCUUCCACUGGCACUUCCUCAACCAGCGGCGCCGCAGGCCCCUCCGCAGGCGCGACGGCACCUUCAACUACAGCCCCGACGUGUACUGCUCCAAGUACAACGAAGCCACCGGCGUGUGCCCCGACGGCGACGAGUGUCCCUACCUGCACCGGACGACGGGGGACACAGAACGCAAGUACCACCUGCGUUACUACAAGACAGGAACCUGCAUCCACGAGACAGAUGCACGUGGCCACUGCGUGAAGAACGGGCUGCACUGUGCCUUCGCGCACGGCCCCCUGGACCUGCGGCCGCCCGUGUGUGACGUCAGGGAGCUGCAGGCCCAGGAAGCCUUGCAGAACGGCCAGCUGGGCGGCGGGGAAGGGGUCCCGGAUCUGCAGCCUGGGGUCUUGGCCAGCCAGGCCAUGAUUGAGAAGAUCCUGAGCGAGGACCCCCGGUGGCAAGAUGCCAACUUCGUGCUGGGCAGCUACAAGACAGAGCAGUGCCCGAAGCCGCCGCGCCUGUGCCGCCAGGGCUACGCGUGCCCGCACUACCACAACAGCCGGGACAGGCGGCGUAACCCCCGGCGCUUCCAGUACAGGUCCACGCCCUGCCCCAGCGUGAAGCAUGGGGAUGAGUGGGGGGAGCCCUCACGCUGCGAUGGCGGCGACGGCUGCCAGUAUUGCCACUCCCGCACGGAGCAGCAGUUCCAUCCUGAGAUCUACAAAUCUACAAAAUGCAACGACAUGCGCCAAACCGGGUACUGCCCGCGCGGCCCCUUCUGUGCCUUUGCACACGUUGAGAAGAGCCUGGGGAUGGCGAAUGAAUGGGGCUGCCGCGACCUCCACCUCACAACUCCUGCCUCCACGGGCAGCGGCCAGCCGGGAAAUGCCAAGCGGAGAGACUCGCCAGCUGAGGGCGGCCCGAAGGGCAGCGAGCAAGACAGCAAGCAGAACCACCUGGCCGUGUUUGCAGCCGUCCACCCGCCAGCCCCCAGCAUGAGCUCCAGCGUGGCGUCCAGCCUGGCGUCCAGCACCGGCUCCGGCAGCUCCUCCCCGACUGCGCUGCCCGCGCCCCCCGCCCGCGCCCUCCCGCUCGGCCCCGCCAGCAGCACCGUGGAGGCCGUCCUCGGUUCUGCAUUAGACCUGCAUCUUAGCAAUGUGAAUAUUGCAUCCCUAGAGAAGGACCUGGAAGAGCAAGACGGCCACGACCUGGGACCAGCAGGUCCCAGGUCGCUGGCCGGCUCUGCGCCUGUCGCCAUCCCCGGCUCCCUGCCCCGAGCACCAUCGCUACACUCGCCAUCCUCCGCGUCCACCUCGCCGCUCAGUUCGCUGUCCCAGCCCCUCCCAGGGCCCGUGGGCUCCUCGGCCAUGACACCUCCCCAGCAGCCGCCACCCCUGCGUUCAGAGUCGGGCGCACUGGGCUCUGCAGCCUCAUCCUACAGCCCCCUAGGUUUGAACGGUGUCCCCGGGAGCAUCUGGGACUUUGUUUCCGGCAGCUUCUCCCCCAGCCCCUCCCCUAUCCUGAGUGCGGGCCCCCCAUCCUCUUCGAGUGCAAGUCCAAACGGAGCUGAGCUGGCCCGGGUCAGGCGGCAGCUGGACGAGGCCAAGAGGAAGAUCCGGCAGUGGGAGGAGUCCUGGCAGCAGGUGAAGCAGGUCUGCGAUGCCUGGCAGCGAGAGGCACAGGAGGCCAAGGAACGUGCCCGCGUGGCCGACAGCGACCGGCAGCUGGCGCUGCAGAAGAAGGAGGAGGUGGAGGCGCAGGUGAAGCAGCUGCAGGAGGAGCUGGAGGGCCUGGGCGUAGCCUCCACACUGCCGGGGCUGCGGGGCUGUGGGGACAUCGGCACCAUUCCCCUGCCGAAGCUGCACUCGCUGCAGAGUCAGCUGCGCCUGGACCUGGAAGCGGUGGACGGCGUGAUCUUCCAGCUCCGCGCCAAGCAGUGUGUGGCCUGCCGGGAGCGGGCCCACGGUGCCGUCCUGCAGCCCUGCCAGCACCACGUCCUGUGUGAGCCGUGUGCGGCCACCGCACCUGAGUGCCCCUACUGCAAGGGCCAGCCCCUGCAGUGGUGACCUCAGUGGGGACAGCCACCUCCUGCUGGGUACCCUGGCUCCAGCGCUCGUGACCAUGGACACGUCGUCACUCACUUCUGGUGCCACCGACGUGAGGACCGAGGCUGGGAGCCCCUGCCCGCACUCGGCCCUACAGCCCUUCCUGUUACAUGUUAUCAUGACGCUGGGAGCCCCGCCCGCGCUUGGCCUGACAGCCUUUCCUGUCACACGUUAUCACCUGUCUAGUCCUCCCGACGGUUUCAAGGAAGUGGAUCCGUGACAUUCUGCAGCUGGUCCACUACUCCAAGGUAACUAUCGACUUGGUUUUAGUGAAUCUAUUUUGUUUUUAAUUAUAGUGAUUUAUUAGCUCAGUAUCUAGAAAUUACGUAUAUUUUGUGCUACUGUCAUCAAUGUGUAAAAUCCUGUUUUUAUUAGUAUUUAUGCACUUGGUUCCCAUUUCGAGCCUCUGGUCUUUUCUGGGAUAAGUGGUGUCUGCCCAGCGUCUCCCGGUUGUCAGUGGUCAGGAGCAGCUGAGCUCUAGUCUGCCAGCUGCUCUGCUCUUUCUGGGAAUGAGGUGGCGGCUGCCCCUCAGGGUGUCUCCAUGGCUCAGCUUCUGGGGUGGUGGAGCUGAGGAGCCCCAGGGGUGGGGGGGGACAGCUGGGAGAUGGAGGUAGCACCUGCUCCCCCAGAUCAGUACUGGCUCUGAGGACAGGUGAGUGGUGGGAAGACCAAAGAAUGGCUGGUGGCGCUGCCAGGGUUGGAAAUGGGGGCAAGAUCCUGGGUCUCUCCGCCCUGGGGCCUCCCUCACCCGUCUUGGCGGCCAAGGCCUCAGGGAUGGAUCCUAGGUGGCUGAGGCACAGCAGUGGCUGGAAGGUGCCCCGUGGAGGCAGAGGUGGAGGUGGGCCCAGCGGCUCCCACCUGUGGCCAUGGCGGGCACCGGGCAUAGGAGCUGGUUGGUGGCCGGUUCUGCGUGUUCUUGUUGCCUGUCGUCUGUAACUCUAGUGUUCAACAUUAGCCGUGAUACUGUGGUGUCACGACGUGUGUAACUGUGGUCAGCAGACCUUGUUCCGUGUGGACGCGUCACGUGGAUUAAUUUCUGGAAGCCUCAAUCUGUAUGUUUAUUUAGAUGAGAAUGUUAUUUGAAUGGAAUUUUCUUAACCCAGAAGGGUAGUAUUUAUAAUCAUUUACUUGUAGCAAACUGUUUAAAGUUAACACUUGUUUAAAUUUUUUUACACUAUAGCAUUUAUGCAAUGGUUUACAGAACUCAUGGAGUUAUUUUUAUCAGUAUGGGAAUUAAUUAAAACCUUGAAUCUUU